UACGUAGGGUGCAAGCGUUGUCCGGAAUUAUUGGGCGUAAAGAGCUCGUAGGCGGUUUGUCGCGUCGGCUGUGAAAUCCCGAGGCUCAACCUCGGGCCUGCAGUCGAUACGGGCAAACUAGAGUGUGGUAGGGGAGACUGGAAUUCCUGGUGUAGCGGUGAAAUGCGCAGAUAUCAGGAGGAACACCGGCGGCGAAGGCGGGUCUCUGGGCCAUAACUGACGCUGAGGAGCGAAAGCUAGGGGAGCAAACAGG
RNAcentral lists this ribosomal RNA (253 nucleotides) under uncultured bacterium. RNAcentral describes it as "partial 16S ribosomal RNA". It matches the Rfam family "Bacterial small subunit ribosomal RNA", at positions 524 to 776 of the family's 1533-position model. The record is from RNAcentral.